RNAcentral lists this ribosomal RNA (253 nucleotides) under uncultured bacterium. RNAcentral's name for it is "partial 16S ribosomal RNA". It matches the Rfam family "Bacterial small subunit ribosomal RNA", at positions 524 to 777 of the family's 1533-position model. The record is from RNAcentral.
UACGUAGGGGGCGAGCGUUGUCCGGAUUUAUUGGGCGUAAAGAGCUCGUAGGCGGUUCGAUAAGUCGGACGUGAAAUCUCCACGCUCAACGUGGAGGGGCCGUUCGAUACUGUCGUGACUCGAGUCCGGUAGGGGAGUGUGGAAUUCCCGGUGUAGCGGUGAAAUGCGCAGAGAUCGGGAGAACACCCGUAGCGAAGGCGGCACUCUGGGCCGGUAUGACGCUGAGGAGCGAAAGCGUGGGGAGCAAAGCAGG